CCUACGGGAGGCAGCAGUGGGGAAUAUUGGACAAUGGGCGAAAGCCUGAUCCAGCCAUGCCGCGUGUGUGAAGAAGGCCUUCGGGUUGUAAAGCACUUUCAGUGGGGAAGAAAGCCUUGGGGCUAAUACCCUCGAGGAAGGACAUCACCCACAGAAGAAGCACCGGCUAACUCCGUGCCAGCAGCCGCGGUAAUACGGAGGGUGCGAGCGUUAAUCGGAAUUACUGGGCGUAAAGCGCGCGUAGGCGGUCUGAUAAGCCGGUUGUGAAAGCCCCGGGCUCAACCUGGGAACGGCAUCCGGAACUGUCAGGCUAGAGUGCAGGAGAGGAAGGUAGAAUUCCCGGUGUAGCGGUGAAAUGCGUAGAGAUCGGGAGGAAUACCAGUGGCGAAGGCGGCCUUCUGGACUGACACUGACGCUGAGGUGCGAAAGCGUGGGUAGCAAACCGGAUUAGAUACCCCGGUAGUC
RNAcentral lists this ribosomal RNA (465 nucleotides) under Vreelandella stevensii. RNAcentral's name for it is "partial 16S ribosomal RNA". It matches the Rfam family "Bacterial small subunit ribosomal RNA", at positions 338 to 795 of the family's 1533-position model. The record is from RNAcentral. Lineage: Bacteria; Pseudomonadati; Pseudomonadota; Gammaproteobacteria; Oceanospirillales; Halomonadaceae.